RNAcentral lists this long non-coding RNA (206 nucleotides) under Lathyrus oleraceus (garden pea). RNAcentral describes it as "Pisum sativum (pea) long non-coding RNA (PSAT_LNC026890)". The record is from RNAcentral. Lineage: Eukaryota; Viridiplantae; Streptophyta; Magnoliopsida; Fabales; Fabaceae.
GAAGUUGGUAGAAAAAAAAAAGAAAAAUAAAAAAGGAAAAAAAUGAAUGAAAAAAAGAAGAAGGAUGUAUACACGUUAAUACAUACUCCUUCUGAAAAAGAAAAAAAAAGAGAAAGGAGAAGAGAAAACAGUUACUAUAAAGUUGUUGAAGUGAAUGGAAUAUUUUGUAAAUUCAACUCCCGCAGUUUCUUUCAAGUCUCUUUUGU